UACAGAGGGUGCGAGCGUUAAUCGGAAUUACUGGGCGUAAAGCGCGCGUAGGCGGCUUCGCAAGUCGGGUGUGAAAUCCCCAGGCUUAACCUGGGAACUGCAUUCGAGACUGCAUUGCUAGAGUAUGGGAGAGGGAAGUGGAAUUUCCGGUGUAGCGGUGAAAUGCGUAGAUAUCGGAAGGAACAUCAGUGGCGAAAGCGACUUCCUGGACCAAUACUGACGCUCAUGUGCGAAAGCGUGGGGAGCAAACAGG
Molecule: ribosomal RNA, 253 nt
Filed under: uncultured bacterium
Lineage: Bacteria
Description: partial 16S ribosomal RNA
Rfam family: Bacterial small subunit ribosomal RNA
Source: RNAcentral